CUGCUGCCAGCACCUGGCCCAGCAAAGCAAUGGGCGAGAACAGCCAACUCUGACUUCCGGAGGAGUCAUAUUUAAAGAACAAGCAAGCAAGCAAACAAACAGACCAGCGACUGGACAAGGCGGCCUCCCGAGUUCCCUAGCCUAACUGUGCAUAAAAGUGCUCAGCCCCUCAGGCUUGCUCUUGCUGCAGAGAACACGAACAUGAACCUUCGUCGGAGGAGACAUCAUUUGGCCUUUCAAACAGUGGGUCUCAAUAGCUGAUGAGUAACGAGAACAGCACGGUAAAUUGUAAGUAGCAGUCUGAUAGACUGGAGUGAGUAAGGGACAGCAGGGUGAUUGAUGCAGGCACGUGCUACAUGAUGACAUUGAUCUCUGUGGCCAUCAUGCUCUACACACAAGAGUGAAUGCAUGCUCAUGGGUUCCAAAGGCUGGGCAAGGUUUGAAUACAAGAGUGUCAUGUAUCUUGUGCAUUGCUUAGAGCAGUACUGUGGAGACACAGAAGAACUUGGAGGGAGGCAAGUGACACUUUGUAGGUUAAUCACCAUCUCUGCUCGCCAGUCAAUCAAGUAGGCCCAGAGAUGCUCUUCCUCCCAGGCAAAAAGAUCUUUAGGGCUCUAUGUUGUCCACUUUACCUGUCAAUAGUUGCUUGAGCCCCUGGAGUGGAAAGGGUCUUGUUUAAGAUACUUGCUAUUCCCCAGCCUUCCACCAGAUGGCAGCCUUGAAACAUGGGGAGGUGGUCCAUCUGGCAGCUGCUUCAAGUAUCUUCAAGUGGGGGAGGCGACUUCAAAUCUUAGAGGCCUGGGCCUCUCUCCUUCCUUGCGAAGGGUCACCUCCUGAAAAAACUGUCUGGGUCUGGUUCCUUGUCUGGCCAGGCAGCAGCCGCUUUCUGAAGCACAGGGCAUUUUGCCAGGGGCUGUUCUGCAGUCUCAGCAGUGGAUUCCCCACCACACUACUGAAAUGCCCCAGGCCUACACCAAAGCCAGACAAACUCCAGCCCUUGCACAUCCAGCAAGCUAUCGUUAUCCCUCCCACCAAGUCAUGCUUCCAGAAAGGAAGUGAAUGCUGGCCUCUGACUUCCAGCCCCUCCCCCAUGCCUCCAAGCCUCUUGCACUCACAUUCCAUAAGAUAUUCUGUUUCCUAACUGAUAUUCUUUGUAGUGUGGAGAGCACAUCACCUUCCUGGGAAGGAACCCCAAAUUAGAGAGGAAGCCUUGUGUCAGCACCCAAGUCAGAUGAGAAAUGGCUCAUGGAAGGAGCACCACAUGACGUCCUGGAGUUACCCAGAAGAACAGCAAGUAAGGGACCUUAAAAGGACCCUCGCUACAGGCAGGCACCUCCAUGUCCAUUUGGUGCCCUGUGUGGAAGCCUUCUGGAUCAGCGGGCCUGGAGUUCAAUGAUGAUGGAGCUAGACAGACCUUAGAGCUGAGGAAGCUGCUCUGGGCAAGCAGGGACUAUGGAAGCUUCUAUGCCAGUCUGAGAACUGUGCGGGCAUCCAUCUGGGUGGGAGCUGGUGUAUCCAGAUGGUUUCCAUUUUUCUGGGUAACCUUGGAAAACGUGAAUCAGAAGGUGGCCACGCUGCCCACAGCUGCAGUGGGGGGCAGGGGGAUACUGCCUGUGAGUCACAAGCUAGGCUCUCCAGAGCUGUUUUCCACAUGUCCAUCUAGGGGACAAUUCUCUACUGGCAGUUCAAUUUCUUCAGUCCCCUGUUUUCUUAGGACCAGGGUGAGUGAUAUGUUUGCUCUCAGUGAAAUGACAACCUUGUGGCAUCACCCCCAGCACACUUCUGGAACUGAUGAGUCCAGCCUUGAUGUCCUGGGCAAACCAGAGAAUAGAUUAAUCCUUUCAGGGCACAGCACAGUCCCAGAAGGCACCACUUGACCCAUCUCUCAGGAGAAAGCAAAGGUGAGGGCCUUCAAUGUAGAAGUCCAUUUUCAAACUCUCUAAGAAGACUCUCUGCUCCUGAACACUGCCCAUUGCAUUCCUGAUCCUACUCUCCUAGUCCAGACUUAAAGAGACCCUAGCUUUCAUACAGCCUGCAUCUUUCUACCGUGGUGGCCACAGAGAAGUAGGCACAGCACCCCAGAAUGAGGGGCUGAGUACCCCCCAGCACGGGGCAGUGCAGCCCAAGGUCCCUACAAUCCAAAUCAGGUUUCUCACAACUACUGGGAUUCUGUGCUCUUCUAAGAGGGGAGGCAUUGUCACUGCCUCCUGGGCCACUGUGAUACCUGCUUUUGGCACAGUCCCACACUGUCAUCACCCAUCCUGUUAAAGUCCUAAGAAAUGAGCAGUCUCCUUGACCACACUGACGCAGAGAAAACAGACCCAGGAAAGAAGAGAUCUGUCUGCAUGGGUCACCUAGUAAGCAACAGGGUCAGGACCCAGGACCAGGGGCCUCCGAGUCACAGGUCCUAUGUAAUCCCUGCCACUCUCUCCUUCCUCCAGCCCUCCUUGGCUAACUCUUCCCUGUAGCAACACUGACUGCCACUGUACCAGGUGAACACUGUCUCUAGAGCUCUGACUUCUUCCUGUUGUUUCUCUCUGAGAGCUCCUUCCUGGGACAACAUUGCCUCAGCACCUCUGGGUUCUGCGUGGCUUCGAACACAAGGGAAGACAGUUUGUCCUGAUUGCAGAGAGAAAUGGCGUGCACUGCGGCAGGCCAGACAGAUUCCUUCUAUCAUUUAGAGAGACAGCUGUCAAACACGGUCAUUGUUGAAAUGUAACCAGGCACACUUAUAAUUAAACGACUUAUCAAUAAAGACCGCAAUU
This is a long non-coding RNA of Mus musculus (house mouse), 2765 nucleotides long. RefSeq annotates it as predicted gene, 35242. The transcript is spliced from 3 exons. The record is from RefSeq and is a predicted model, not a curated record. Lineage: Eukaryota; Metazoa; Chordata; Mammalia; Rodentia; Muridae.